Molecule: ribosomal RNA, 246 nt
Filed under: uncultured Lactobacillus sp.
Lineage: Bacteria; Bacillati; Bacillota; Bacilli; Lactobacillales; Lactobacillaceae
Description: partial 16S ribosomal RNA
Rfam family: Bacterial small subunit ribosomal RNA
Source: RNAcentral
CGUGGGUAACCUGCCCUUAAGUCUGGGAUACCAUUUGGAAACAGAUGCUAAUACCGGAUAACAACAGAUGAUGCCUAUCAACUGUUUAAAAGAUGGUUCUGCUAUCACUCUUGGAUGGACCUGCGGUGCAUUAGCUAGUUGGUAGGGUAACGGCCUACCAAGGCGAUGAUGCAUAGCCGAGUUGAGAGACUGAUCGGCCACAUUGGGACUGAGACACGGCCCAAACUCCUACGGGAGGCAGCAGUA